GUGAAUAAUAUUCUUCUCCAUUAAUGGAGCUUCUACUAUGAAAUUCUAUAUUUCUACAGCUUCCUCCGCCCCAGCUCCCCUUCCGUCACACUGCGACGUUGCUCCAAGCUGCUCGGCGUCGUGUGGAGAUCGGGGCAGGGGCUGCUCGUCGCCGCCUCCCGUUCCGUACAGCUCUAUCACCGAAUCUAAGUCCCCUCUAGUCCAUCUUAAUCUCCCUUGUUAUUUGCAAGUUUUGAUUUGCAUUGAGAUGUUGAGUUUAUGGCAAGCUUAGAACGAAUUUUGAUUCUAGGCUUAGGGUUCUCAGUCCCUGUUUUAUUGAUCGAAUUACUCGUUGGCACUAUUGGGAAUGAACCUAUAUGUAUACGUGAUGAGCUUCUAUGUUCUGAGAGUUGAGAGUAUUCCUAAGUUGCCGGUUUGAGUGGAGAGCAGUGGCGAUUUUGUUCCUCAGUUUUCAUCAUGUAAAAUAGCUCCAAAAUUGCUUCAUGCUUGGUGUCUUUGUUUAUUUCCUUUCUACUGAUUUACUUGAGAUUGAGCAUGCUAGUUGAAGUUCUUAAAUUGUGGUGCCUAACAUGCUUGAGAUGAUGAUAUGGCACCUUAAAUUGAGCUUGAUGGGGGUUACCUUCUCCUGCACUGUUUUGCUGCUUCCUUACUCCCAGCUUCGACCUCCCUCACUCUCCAAUUUGAUUACUUGUUGGCCGAAUAUGUUAUGGUGAGAGGGAGUGAAACCGAGGGGAAUGUAGCAUAUAUAUAGGGUGUAUGUAACUGAAAGCUGCAAGGCUGUCUGUUAGUGCAGGAAAAAAAGGGUCCUUAGACUGCUCCUAUGUUGGCUGAUCUUCCUGCACAAUGCUGGGCAUGUACUCGUGUAUUAAAUGCCAUUGCAUCCCCAUUCGUUGCCCUACUGCAGCAGUUUUCUUUGUCCUUUGCUGCAUUUUACUGAAUUUUUGGUAUGAUUUUGCAGGUACGAACUGGAGUAGAGGUUGUUGGCUGGGCGCAGGGGCUAUGCUGCUGCCGCGGUUGCCCUCCUUUUCCUUUAGCUUGUUGUGGCUGUGAUUAUGGGUUGAGGUGGUGGUAGAUAUUGGUUGUACUCUAGUCAUUGUCGGCUUUGGGUGGUUCUUUAGCCUUUACUAAAAAUGGGGGGGCUACACAUUCUGGCUGCUGCGUUGACACAGCCUUAGGGGCUGGCUCGCUGCCUUGGCCGACGGCCUGUCAAGGUUUGGGCCGAAAUCCGGGCCAAGGGAAGAGGCCCGACGUUGGCGUUCCCAGCGCUGUAAUAGGAUCAAGCCCUAUUGUGUUUCUCUUUUUUUUUUGUUCUUCUUCGUCCCUUUCUCAACAAGUGUAGUCGAGCGUCUUAGCUCGAAAAAAAUUCAAGUCGUGUUGUGUAUUAUUUUUCAUCUCUUUAUUAUUAUUUUAUUUCUUUGUAAACUACGGCAUAGCUCGGUAAUUUAAUACGUUGUAUUUUGUUUAUUUAAGGAAUAGACGGAUGCACUUCCAUUUUAUC
Long non-coding RNA from Salvia splendens (bonfire salvia), 1498 nucleotides. RefSeq lists it as uncharacterized. Lineage: Eukaryota; Viridiplantae; Streptophyta; Magnoliopsida; Lamiales; Lamiaceae. The transcript has 2 exons. The record is from RefSeq and is a predicted model, not a curated record.